Molecule: ribosomal RNA, 766 nt
Filed under: uncultured Streptococcus sp.
Lineage: Bacteria; Bacillati; Bacillota; Bacilli; Lactobacillales; Streptococcaceae
Description: bacterial SSU rRNA
Rfam family: Bacterial small subunit ribosomal RNA
Source: RNAcentral
GACGAACGCUGGCGGCGUGCCUAAUACAUGCAAGUAGAACGCUGAAGAGAGGAGCUUGCUCUUCUUGGACGAGUUGCGAACGGGUGAGUAACGCGUAGGUAACCUGCCUGGUAGCGGGGGAUAACUAUUGGAAACGAUAGCUAAUACCGCAUAAAAUUAAUUAUUGCAUGAUAAUUAAUUGAAAGAUGCAAUUGCAUCACUACCAGAUGGACCUGCGUUGUAUUAGCUAGUUGGUGAGGUAACGGCUCACCAAGGCGACGAUACAUAGCCGACCUGAGAGGGUGAUCGGCCACACUGGGACUGAGACACGGCCCAGACUCCUACGGGAGGCAGCAGUAGGGAAUCUUCGGCAAUGGGGGGAACCCUGACCGAGCAACGCCGCGUGAGUGAAGAAGGUUUUCGGAUCGUAAAGCUCUGUUGUAAGAGAAGAACGGGUGUGAGAGUGGGAAGUUCACACUGUGACGGUAUCUUACCAGAAAGGGACGGCUAACUACGUGCCAGCAGCCGCGGUAAUACGUAGGUCCCGAGCGUUGUCCGGAUUUAUUGGGCGUAAAGCGAGCGCAGGCGGUUAGAUAAGUCUGAAGUUAAAGGCUGUGGCUUAACCAUAGUAUGCUUUGGAAACUGUUUAACUUGAGUGCAGAAGGGGGAGAGUGGAAUUCCAUGUGUAGCGGUGAAAUGCGUAGAUAUAUGGAGGAACACCGGUGGCGAAAGCGGCUCUCUGGUCUGUAACUGACGCUGAGGCUCGAAAGCGUGGGGAGCAAACAGG